UCCGAUUGGUUGAAAGAGCCAGAACCUAUACCGGUUUCACUUCGUGGUGAUAUGACGCAUAUUACAUUCUUUAUCACCGGGAGUAAAACUGGUAUAGGAUCUGCGACUCGCUGAUUGGAA
This 120-nucleotide microRNA precursor is filed under the name Caenorhabditis sp. 23 AD-2012. Its description in RNAcentral is "mir-38". The stretch from base 7 to 111 matches the Rfam family "mir-36 microRNA precursor family". The record is from RNAcentral. Lineage: Eukaryota; Metazoa; Nematoda; Chromadorea; Rhabditida; Rhabditidae.